This is a transfer RNA of Ovis aries (sheep), 73 nucleotides long. It matches the Rfam family "tRNA". From Rfam's summary of the family: Transfer RNA (tRNA) molecules are approximately 80 nucleotides in length. Their secondary structure includes four short double-helical elements and three loops (D, anti-codon, and T loops). NCBI's taxonomy places the organism in Eukaryota, Metazoa, Chordata, Mammalia, Artiodactyla, Bovidae. The record is from Rfam.
UCCCUGGUGGUCCAGUGGUUAAAACUCUGCACUCCCAAUGUAGGUGGCGCAAGUUUGAUUCCUGGUCAGGGAA